UUGCACGCUGGCGGCAUGCUUUACCCAUGCAAGUCGAACGGCAGCGCGGGCUUCGGCCUGGCGGCGAGUGGCGAACGGGUGAGUAAUACAUCGGAACGUGCCCAGUAGUGGGGGAUAGCUCGGCGAAAGCCGGAUUAAUACCGCAUACGACCUGAGGGUGAAAGCGGGGGAUCUUCGGACCUCGCGCUAUUGGAGCGGCCGAUGGCAGAUUAGCUCGUUGGUGGGGUAAAGGCCUACCAAGGCGACGAUCUGUAGCUGGUCUGAGAGGACGACCAGCCACACUGGGACUGAGACACGGCCCAGACUCCUACGGGAGGCAGCAGUGGGGAAUUUUGGACAAUGGGCGAAAGCCUGAUCCAGCAAUGCCGCGUGUGUGAUGAAGGCCUUCGGGUUGUAAAGCACUUUUGGCGGGAACGAAAAGGACUGUGCCAAUACCACGGUUCGAUGACGGUACCCGCAGAAUAAGCACCGGCUAACUACGUG
RNAcentral lists this ribosomal RNA (483 nucleotides) under uncultured bacterium. RNAcentral's name for it is "partial 16S ribosomal RNA". It matches the Rfam family "Bacterial small subunit ribosomal RNA", at positions 29 to 507 of the family's 1533-position model. The record is from RNAcentral.